CGAUGCUGUGAUGACUCAAACCAGUAAAGCCAGUUCUGCUUCUGAUUAUUAUUGAAGAGAACGCUGGAAGCACUUUCUGAGCAUCG
RNAcentral lists this small nucleolar RNA (86 nucleotides) under Chlamydomonas reinhardtii. RNAcentral describes it as "CrCD57 snoRNA". Lineage: Eukaryota; Viridiplantae; Chlorophyta; Chlorophyceae; Chlamydomonadales; Chlamydomonadaceae. The record is from RNAcentral.